RNAcentral lists this ribosomal RNA (265 nucleotides) under uncultured archaeon. RNAcentral describes it as "partial 16S ribosomal RNA". It matches the Rfam family "Archaeal small subunit ribosomal RNA", at positions 719 to 982 of the family's 1478-position model. The record is from RNAcentral.
AGUCACUGACAUUAGAUACCCGGGUAGUCCAGGGUGUAAACGCUGCGGGCUUGGUGUUGGGGGUCCUUUGAGGGCGCCCAGUGCCGGAGAGAAGUUGUUAAGCCUGCUGCUUGGGGAGUACGUCCGCAAGGAUGAAACUUAAAGGAAUUGGCGGGGGAGCACCGCAACGGGAGGAGCGUGCGGUUCAAUUGGAUUCAACGCCGGACAACUCACCAGGAGCGACGGUUACAUGAAGGCCAGGCUGAUGACCUUGCCUGAUUUUCCG